This 71-nucleotide microRNA precursor is filed under the name Glycine max (soybean). RNAcentral describes it as "miR5669 stem-loop (gma-MIR5669)". The record is from miRBase by way of RNAcentral. Lineage: Eukaryota; Viridiplantae; Streptophyta; Magnoliopsida; Fabales; Fabaceae.
UGGUGUCAAUCAAUGUAGUGUGGUAAGUGGUCAGAGUUCAAGUCUAUUGGACACCUAGAUUGGUGAUACUG